GAGAUAGACAGAGGUCUUAACCUUAACCAUAGAGAUAGACAGAGGUCUUAACCAUAGAGAUAGACAGAGGUCUUAACCAUAGAGAUAGAUAGAGGUCUUAACCAUAGAGAUAGAACGAGGACUUUGUACGGCGUCUGUGACAGCAUGGCAGCACCAAUGAUCUCCAUUUUAAAAUAAUACAUUUUUUAAAUAUAUAUUUUUUUAAAGCAGAUAUUUGUGAUUUUAGCGCCACCAGAGUCCUGAACCACAUUUAGUCUUACGUUUAUUGUGGCCACUAGGUGGCGGUGAUAUAUCUCCUUAACAACCUAUUUGAAGAAGAAGAAGUCAUUUGCUAUGCUCAUAAAGGCUGAUCGCUCUCAAACCCCAUAAGGAUUCCCUACCCAGUUUGACUACUUUAAAAUGGUGGAAAAAA
This is a long non-coding RNA of Oncorhynchus kisutch (coho salmon), 412 nucleotides long. RefSeq lists it as uncharacterized. The transcript has 2 exons. NCBI's taxonomy places the organism in Eukaryota, Metazoa, Chordata, Actinopteri, Salmoniformes, Salmonidae. The record is from RefSeq and is a predicted model, not a curated record.